GAUGAACGCUGGCGGCGUGCCUAACACAUGCAAGUCGAACGGAAAGACGAGGAGUUUGCUCCGCUGACGUUAGCGGCGGACGGGUGAGAAACACGUGGACAACCCCCCUAUAAGAGUGGGAUAAUUUGGGGACAGGGGAGCUAAUACCGGAGAAUAUAUUGAACCGCAGGGGUGAAUAGUGAAUUACGGUUUUGGGGUAAGGAAUAGAUGGAUCCUCGCCGCAUUAGCUAGUUGGGAAGGUAACGGCUUACCAAGGCAACGAGGCGUGGCCGACCUGAGAGGGUGAUCGGCCACACUGGAGCUUAGACACGGACCAGGCUCCUACGGGAGGCAGCAGUAGGGAAUGUUCCGCAAUGGGCGAAAGCUUGACGGAGCAAGGCCGCGUGUGUGAUGAAGGCCUUCGGUUCGUAAAGCUCUCUUAUGAGGUAAGAACAACUUUGUACGUAGCUGUGCACGUCUUGACGGUACCUGAUCAGAAAGCCCCGGCUAACUACGUG
RNAcentral lists this ribosomal RNA (497 nucleotides) under uncultured bacterium. RNAcentral describes it as "partial 16S ribosomal RNA". It matches the Rfam family "Bacterial small subunit ribosomal RNA", at positions 28 to 507 of the family's 1533-position model. The record is from RNAcentral.